CCUUGUUCAUGGCAUUCCUCUUGUUGGGCCGGUUGAGCUGGACAUGCAGAACAUGUUUCUGCGCAGACGUCACACGAAGGGACUCAUAGCUGUGGUCUGGGGCUUCACCGAGGGCUACUCCGGAAGCCUCCUCUUGUGCAGAGGAGCCAGUGAGGCGAAGGCUAAUACUGAGUCCCGGGUAGUUGGAGCCUGUCAGUCGCGG
Molecule: long non-coding RNA, 202 nt
Filed under: Homo sapiens (human)
Lineage: Eukaryota; Metazoa; Chordata; Mammalia; Primates; Hominidae
Description: HSALNT0397898
Source: RNAcentral